UACGUAGGGCGCAAGCGUUGUUCGGAUUCACUGGGCGUAAAGGGUGCGUAGGCGGUCGGGUAAGUCUGAUGUGAAAUCUCACAGCUUAACUGUGAAACUGCAUUGGAUACUAUCCGGCUCGAGGAAUGGAGGGGAGACUGGAAUACUUGGUGUAGCAGUGAAAUGCGUAGAUAUCAAGAGGAACACCAGUGGCGAAGGCGAGUCCCUGGACAAUACCUGACACUGAGGCACGAAAGCCAAGGGAGCAAACAGG
Molecule: ribosomal RNA, 253 nt
Filed under: uncultured bacterium
Lineage: Bacteria
Description: partial 16S ribosomal RNA
Rfam family: Bacterial small subunit ribosomal RNA
Source: RNAcentral